CUUAAAGAACUAAAGAGACUAAACGUUUCACAGAAGAUCGUUUUGGUGUUCGUUUAAUAUUUCGUAAUUAUUCCAUUGAUAAAGAAUUUAUGUCUCUUAAAAAAGGAAAAUCGCAAUAUGUGUUCUUGUUUCAUGACUUUAAUGUGGACCUUUUAACGGAAUACUCGAGUUUUAUUCUUUAAUUUGUAUGUCUGGCUCAAUUGAUGUUGGAAGUUAUGGAUAUUUUUUUCGUGAAGCCAAGAGACGAUGAUAAUUGAUUUUUGCACGAUAUGUAAUCAUCGAGUUAUUUACUUCUUGUUAUUGAACCUUUCAUAAAAGUACCGCCAAGACAUAGCAAUUUUCUUAGUUAGAUUUUUUAUUUUGAUUCUUGAGAAUUGUGUCGUGAUCGCUGAUGUUUCUUUAAGACCGAAUUAUGAUUCGAGGAAUUGGAGUAUAGUGCUUGAAAUGAAAAAGAAGACCAAAAAGCUGAGUAUCUUAUCUGAAACUUUUAUCGAAGAGCUACUGUUGAAGAUGUUACAAAGAAAAUAAAAAUCACCUCCUCAGAACUUUUCGAAGCUGAUUUUCUGGAGUGGCACAACUGUCCAAGUACUUAUCUGUAACAUUACUCAAACUGAAGAGAAGAGGCAGUCAACGAUCGGAAGCUUAAGGCCUAGAAAUUGAAAUCGUUUGCUUUUAGUUUUUGAUUUUUGUUUCGAAUUUCGGCUUUGAAGAAAAAUGGUAACUUUGUUUAACAAGUAUUUCUUAGCGAUACUUUGAAAUGACAGUUAAAAUGUUUCCAUGAUAAAUUUUUCAAUGAAGAUAGAAGUCGCAUCUUCUCUAAAAUGAAAGCGAUGUAAAUUGAUUUAAAAUUAUCUGUAUUUGUUGUAAUUCUACAGCUCACAAGAAGUUACUUUAUUGACUUAAAAAUUAAAUUUCAAUUAAAAACAUUUUUUUCUAAAUUAUCGCUAUGAAAAAGCUGAAAGUAAAUACCAUCUAGUAAUAAAUUAUAACUUGAAGUGAAA
Long non-coding RNA from Parasteatoda tepidariorum (common house spider), 1001 nucleotides. Lineage: Eukaryota; Metazoa; Arthropoda; Arachnida; Araneae; Theridiidae. The record is from RefSeq and is a predicted model, not a curated record.